This 302-nucleotide unclassified non-coding RNA is filed under the name Hevea brasiliensis (rubber tree). The record is from RNAcentral. Lineage: Eukaryota; Viridiplantae; Streptophyta; Magnoliopsida; Malpighiales; Euphorbiaceae.
CUUCAAUAGUCUUUCCAUCGGGACACACCUGGAUCCAUACAACACUUGGCAAUUUAAGUAUGAAAAUACACACAGAUAUACAGUCUCGCACGGCCUGAAGCUAGUUUAACUCUUUGCUUCUACAGAAAUCCCUUGCUAUUGUGCUUCUGCACCCUAAAUUUUACAAACACCCAUCCUUGACCCNNNNNNCUCACUUCCCAUGCGCUAUCCUAAGUCUCCCUUCACGCCCUCAUAUACUAAAACAUUAAAAGUCCUUUACCACCUUUCCAUAAAAAAUAGUUUAAACAUGCAUUUUAAUGUUC